GACGAACGCUGGCGGCGUGCUUAACACAUGCAAGUCGAACGAUGAAGCCCAGCUUGCUGGGUGGAUUAGUGGCGAACGGGUGAGUAAUACGUGAGUAACCUGCCUUUAACUCUGGGAUAAGCCUUGGAAACGAGGUCUAAUACCGGAUACGACCAGUUCCCGCAUGGGAUGCUGGUGGAAAGGGAUAUGUACUGGUUUUAGAUGGGCUCACGGCCUAUCAGCUUGUUGGUGAGGUAACGGCUCACCAAGGCGACGACGGGUAGCCGGCCUGAGAGGGUGACCGGGCCACACUGGGACUGAGACACGGCCCAGACUCCUACGGGAGGCAGCAGUGGGGAAUAUUGGCACAAUGGGCGCAAGCCUGAUGCAGCGACGCCGCGUGAGGGAUGACGGCCUUCGGGUUGUAAACCUC
This 412-nucleotide ribosomal RNA is filed under the name uncultured bacterium. RNAcentral's name for it is "bacterial SSU rRNA". It matches the Rfam family "Bacterial small subunit ribosomal RNA", at positions 28 to 433 of the family's 1533-position model. The record is from RNAcentral.